GAGGCACCGUAUUUAAACUCCAGUACUGAACAAUACAACGUGGCAUCUCCCAGUGAGCUACCUGUUCUUGCAGCAGCGGACGUAAGCUAAGGUUUGGAUCACAGCUGACGUACCCUAAGGUUUGGAUCACACGAGAAAGCGAUUUGUUCUGUCAGAAAGCUUCUCCUCACCUCAUCAUCCUCGAGCAGCCAGUCACCUAGUGCACAGCUCAGCUGGGGGCUGCGGAGAGAAAGGAGCUGGUGGCUAGCGGGCUGAGGUUCGUGAAGAGAUGGGGGGAGUUUGCAGUGGCUGCAUAUUAAAGGUUUCACUUACAGGAUGGAGAAAAAGGUUCCCUCCCCCAAGCGUCCCCCAAGAAAAUAGCAUUGGGUACAGUAAUUCAUCCCAACAUGAACGAAUCAGUUUACCUGUGACUACCUAUUUCAGCUAUGAAACACUUACGGAAAUUGGCAUCAUCAAACUGUCACUCAACACCAGCUCCUAAACUUGAUUUCAGUGCUUGUCAAACUACAGUGGUUGCUUAUUUACAGCUUUUCUAAAGGUUCUUGGUUUAGCUAAGUCACCAACAGAAGUGACAAGUUCUGUCUUUUUAACACUUGACACAAACAAAGAUGAAAACUAUGUGCACGGCGCCCAAUUUGGCCUUUCCGAGGUGGAACGGGUGCGGAAUACAUAGGUUCCCUCGCAGUCUUUUCAGUCACACAACUGUAAAUAUCGGUGUAAAAAAACCACACAGAAUACACGGACUGGCUUGAAUGAAGUUGUUACAGACAGGACAUUUGGGCGUGGGAGAUGAACGGGCAUUUCUGGAAGAGCUGUGGGUUGACCGCGGAAAAAGAAAACACAAGCAGGAAAAGGCAUUAGAAUGCCUGGGAGUGCACCAGUCAGAGAAGGAGAGAGAAGCUCUCACAUAAACUUCAGCUGACCUCCCCCACAAAGACCUUGGCCAAUUUCAGUAUGCACUGUAAUUUAGUAAAGACAAACAGAGUGAAACGGGCAUUUAAUCCGAUUACAACCAAGUCGAAUCCCUUCACUGUAAAACAACUCCAGCCGCAAAAGAAAAAUGGAACAAAAAUGUCUGCUGCACUGUCCCCGUGUUCCUGCGGAUGGGCAAUAUGGAGCUGUAAAGUAUCACCCCCUUUUAUUGAGUCAAUACCAUAAGGUUGGAAAUUGGAUGCCAUUUUGAAUGUAUCAACCAGUUUUCAUCACCAACAUGUUAGGAAUUUUCGAGCAUUUCAUAAGCAAUGUCCACAAGGAAGUUUGUUGGUUUUUCAUACAAGUCAUUCUUUGACAAGAUCGCAGGAAAUUAUUAGGCCUUGUAUACAGGGAGGA
Molecule: long non-coding RNA, 1329 nt
Organism: Anguilla rostrata (American eel)
Lineage: Eukaryota; Metazoa; Chordata; Actinopteri; Anguilliformes; Anguillidae
Exons: 3
Source: RefSeq, a predicted model, not a curated record